UGGAACAGUUUCCACAUUGCCAGUCGAGAAGGCGACCCUCUGAUCCUCCAGUACCUGCUCACUGUUUGCCCAGGUGCCUGGAAGACAGAGAGCAAAAUUAGAAGGACUCCUCUGCACACUGCAGCAAUGCAUGGCCAUUUAGAGGCGGUCAAGGUGCUUCUUAAGAGGUGCCAAUAUGAACCAGACUACAGAGACAACUGUGGCGUCACCCCCUUGAUGGAUGCAAUCCAGUGUGGUCACAUCGACGUCGCUAGGCUGCUCCUCAGUGAACAUGGGGCUUGCCUUUCAGCAGAAGACAGCCUGGGUGCCCAGGCUCUGCACAGGGCAGCCGUCACAGGGCAGGACGAAGCCAUCCGAUUCUUGGUCUCUGAACUUGGCGUCGAUGUAGAUGUGAGAGCCACAUCAACCCACCUCACAGCACUUCAUUAUGCAGCUAAGGUUUGUUACUUCUUAUAACGUCCCAGCUUCCCCGAGGCUUGCCUUACUCCAUUGAUGGGUAGCUCCGUAGCCUGGUUUCUUUGGCCCCAUCUCUAUGGAAGAAAUUGCCCAUGAUAUUCUUCUGAAAUGGUCAGGAUUCUGAAGUGCUUUAUCUCUUUAAAUAGAAACCUGACUUGAAUUUGUUUCUAGGCAAAAACUUAAAAAAAAGCCUUUUACUCCAUAAAGUGCCUCCCCCUCACACACAGGUUUUUGUUUUCAGAAAUAAUGUUAUUUGAAGCCAUAAAUACCCAUUGUAUGAAA
RNAcentral lists this small RNA (738 nucleotides) under Pongo abelii (Sumatran orangutan). Its description in RNAcentral is "retained intron". Lineage: Eukaryota; Metazoa; Chordata; Mammalia; Primates; Hominidae. The record is from RNAcentral.